UCCUUUCCUUCCCUUCACGUCUCCUUUCUCCUCUCCUCGGGUGAUGCCGCCGCCAUCAUGAAUGGCAACUAGAGGUCAGAUCCAGAAGGACACAGAGGAGGAAAUCCCAAAGGACGACUAAAAGAGAAGAAGAAGCAGGAAGAACAAUCCACAAAGUUUCUCAUCACGGGUUCAGAAAUUGCGCAAAGUCAAUGUCGGCAACAAUAUCUACAGGCUUGACUAAAUCAUUUUCCAAACAAGAAUAACAAGAGAGUAGGAAUCUGGAAUAUGAAAGCAUCAAUUUUGAUUGACGUGGCAACCAACCAUUGUUACUAUGACUUAUUGGACUGCCAUGAUGUUUAUUAUAUAAACAAUUUCUUAUGCAGGCUUCAUAAUUUGCAAAAGUACAAGAUCAUCAAAGAACAACGACAGUGUGGAUAAAAAAAGUAUUAUCAACAUGGUAAGAACGAGUAAAAUCAAAAUGAAUGCAGAGACACAACUACUUCACAUGCAGUGAAGCCAUUUUUCUGCGAGUACUACUGUCAUUUACCUUCAAAUAAACAUGCUAGUCAUGAGAAAAUUCCAUUUGUAGGUUACAAAUGUUGCACAAGUUCGAGGUCGGCAACAACAACUGCACAGGGGAGUAAAUGAAAAUGUCAACAAGGUUAAAUCAAAGUUCAUUCACAAACACUGCUAGAAAGCUUGGCAUUGAAGGCAUUUUGCCCCUAUUGCAACCAUUAAUACUCCGAUUAACUAUCCAACAUAUAUGGCCAUCAUGUGAAAAUUCCAUAUGAAGUGUACUAAAGUUGCACAAGAUCGAUGUCAGCUACAAAAGCUACAUGAGUAGCAAAUCCAAAUGUCAACAAGGAGAGUAUGCAAUGUUUUACAGGAGCAAAGGGACCAAAACUUCAGAUUAUCUUAGCUAAAAAAAUAGAUUACUAAUGCAAUGAAAUUCUUAUGCAGGUGCCAAAAAUUACACACAUGGAAUACUAGAAACUGGAAAGUCAAUAUAAAAAUUGUUGUGAUUGGAGAAUAAUAAGAUUUUUGGAAAAUUGCAUUUGCAGGUCUCAGAAGUUGCACAAAUGGAUAGUGAGCAACUAGGACAUUAAGGGAUAGAAAAUCAUAUUGUAAUUAACAACAAGGAAACAGAAGGUGCAAAGUUUGGAGAUCAAGAUUUGCAACUACAAGUGGGAUACAGAAAGGAGGAAGUUGAUGAAUCAACAGAUAACCAAAUGAGACAAGAUGGUUCUAGAUAGACCAUACAAUGCAGAUCCAGAACAAUCGAGAAGUUCAAAAAUUAGUUGAGGACUAAAGAAUAGGAAUGUUAUUGAAGCAAUCAGAAGCAAGUAGAAUUUUACAAAGACAAAGAAGAAAAGGAGAUAAGAAGUACAAACAAGAUUCCAGGAGCAGAAAUAAUCAUUUACAUACUCUAAGUGUUAUGCUAGUCAGAAAAACUUGUAAUAGCUAAGUGAGAACUUGUAAUUUAAGGAAUAGUCGU
This is a long non-coding RNA of Triticum aestivum (bread wheat), 1477 nucleotides long. RefSeq lists it as uncharacterized. Lineage: Eukaryota; Viridiplantae; Streptophyta; Magnoliopsida; Poales; Poaceae. The transcript is spliced from 4 exons. The record is from RefSeq and is a predicted model, not a curated record.